Glycine soja is the source of this 373-nucleotide long non-coding RNA. RefSeq lists it as uncharacterized. The transcript is spliced from 3 exons. Lineage: Eukaryota; Viridiplantae; Streptophyta; Magnoliopsida; Fabales; Fabaceae. The record is from RefSeq and is a predicted model, not a curated record.
AUUCAAAUGGCAGUUCCACCAGAAAUGGAGCAUCCCAGGAAGGCUUUUGGAUGGACAGCUAGAGACACAUCUGGGGUUCUCUCCCCUUUCAAGUUCUCAAGAAGGGAAACAGGAGAGAAAGAUGUAGCAUUCAAAGUAUUGUACUGUGCUAUAUGUCACUCGGACCCUCAUAUGUUGAAGAACGAAUGGGGCAUUUCCACUUAUCCCCUCCCCUAGUACCCGGGCACGAGAUUGCAGGUGAAGUAACAGAGGUAGGAAGCAAGGUACGGAACUUCAAAGUAGGAGACAAGGUGGGUGUGGGAUGCAUGGUUCUAUCCUGUCGCUCAUGCCAAAGCUGUGAAGACAAUCUUGAGAAUUACUGUCCAAAAAUGAU